Molecule: ribosomal RNA, 438 nt
Filed under: uncultured bacterium
Lineage: Bacteria
Description: bacterial SSU rRNA
Rfam family: Bacterial small subunit ribosomal RNA
Source: RNAcentral
UUACGGGAGGCAGCAGUAGGGAAUUUUCGGCAAUGGGCGAAAGCCUGACCGAGCAACGCCGCGUGAGGGAAGAAGGUCUUCGGAUCGUAAACCUUUGUCUUUGGGGACGAUAAUGACGGUACCCAAGGAGGAAGCCACGGCUAACUACGUGCCAGCAGCCGCGGUAAUACGUAGGUGGCAAGCGUUGUCCGGAAUUACUGGGCGUAAAGGGCGUGUAGGCGGCGAUUUAAGUCAGACGUGAAAGCCCAGGGCUUAACCUUGGGACUGCGUUUGAAACUGGAUGGCUAGAGGAUCGGAGAGGGCAGUGGAAUUCCCAGUGUAGCGGUGAAAUGCGUAGAUAUUGGGAGGAACACCAGUGGCGAAGGCGACUGCCUGGACGACACCUGACGCUGAGGCGCGAAAGCUAGGGGAGCAAACGGGAUUAGAUACCCCGGUAGA